Molecule: long non-coding RNA, 380 nt
Organism: Magnolia sinica
Lineage: Eukaryota; Viridiplantae; Streptophyta; Magnoliopsida; Magnoliales; Magnoliaceae
Exons: 3
Source: RefSeq, a predicted model, not a curated record
AUGAGGCUCCGCUGUCCUGUCCAGCAGAGGCAAAGGAACAUUUAUUUCUAAUUCAUUUCCUUCAGCCACAGACACAAAAUUUGCAAGAUUGUGAAGGAGACUUGGGUACGGGCUGGAUGGUGUGUUAGGGAUUUCACUCUCUACAUUGGCUCCCUUGGGACAACAUUCUUACUUUUCAAAGCAUACGAAGUCACCAAGAACAAGAAUGAUCUCAAUCUCUGCAUUGAAAUUGUGAGGGCUUGUGAUACUGCUUCACGAGAAUCAGGACAUGUGACAUUCAUCUGUGGUCGGGCUGGUGUGUGCACCCUUAGUGCCGUGGCUGCAAAGAACAUUGGGGAUCAUGCACUGCUCAACCACUACCUAUCUCAGUUCAAAGCGGU